GUGAGGUGGCUGUCCUUGAUUGGUUAUCAAUGAGCCAUAGGGCACAUUCCCUGAGAAUCAGGGAUAGUUUUAAUUAGGAACCAAGGAGCCCAUAUGUUUAUGUAGGAAUUCUUUGUAAGAAUAUCUCUAACAGAUACUCUAAAAGAGUGACCUGCAAAAUAGGUUUAGAGGUCGCUGUUGAACGAAUUUGCGGGGCCAUU
This 200-nucleotide long non-coding RNA is filed under the name Hordeum vulgare. RNAcentral's name for it is "long non-coding RNA (HVUL_LNC005605)". The record is from RNAcentral. Lineage: Eukaryota; Viridiplantae; Streptophyta; Magnoliopsida; Poales; Poaceae.